GAAGCUUUUCAAUGUGAAUGAAAAAAUGUGAAUGCAAAUUUGAACAUGAUAUAUAGAAAUAUGAGAUGGAAUAUAGAUGGAAUCUCCUUGAAUUAAGAUUGAAAGGGAAAAUGACGUAAUUGAAAUAUGAAUGAUUAUGUAGAAUUCCUUCAAUAUUAAUGGAUUUCCUUUUUUUUUUUAAGGUGAAUGAAGCAAAUAUGAAUGUAAAUUUGGG
This 214-nucleotide long non-coding RNA is filed under the name Lathyrus oleraceus (garden pea). RNAcentral describes it as "Pisum sativum (pea) long non-coding RNA (PSAT_LNC036603)". The record is from RNAcentral. Lineage: Eukaryota; Viridiplantae; Streptophyta; Magnoliopsida; Fabales; Fabaceae.